AACGAACGUUGGCGGCGUGGAUUAGGCAUGCAAGUCGAACGAGAAAGGUUUCGCAAGAGACCUAGUAAAGUGGCGGAAGGGCGAGUAAUGCAUAGAUAACCUACCCCUAAAAUGGGGAUAACCUCUCGAAAGGGAGACUAAUACCCAAUAAGACCACGAGUCGCAUGACCUGUGCUCAAAGAUGGGGGACCCGCAAGGGCCUUUCGUUUAGGGAGGGGUUUAUGUCCUAUCAGCUAGUUGGUGAGGUAACGGCNCACCAAGGCGAUGACGGGUAGCCGACCUGAGAGGGUGACCGGCCGCACUGGGACUGAGACACGGCCCAGACUCCUACGGGAGGCAGCAGUGGGGAAUCUUGCGCAAUGGGCGAAAGCCUGACGCAGCGA
RNAcentral lists this ribosomal RNA (383 nucleotides) under uncultured bacterium. RNAcentral's name for it is "bacterial SSU rRNA". It matches the Rfam family "Bacterial small subunit ribosomal RNA", at positions 29 to 394 of the family's 1533-position model. The record is from RNAcentral.